Molecule: long non-coding RNA, 493 nt
Organism: Pseudopipra pipra
Lineage: Eukaryota; Metazoa; Chordata; Aves; Passeriformes; Pipridae
Exons: 6
Source: RefSeq, a predicted model, not a curated record
UAACUUGGUGUUGGUAAGCUGCUUUUAUAAUUGGUUAUCUGUUUCUCUUUUCCUUAGGAGCCUUGCAUCUUUUGGGAUUUCCUGAUCAUCUCAACUGCAGUUUGGCAUUUUUUCACUAGUGUUAUCCAGUCCUCAGGUGAAGCUGCUCUGUGUUGAAGAUGCUACAGACACCCAGCUGCAGAGCCCUGGGCCCAGGAGGCUCUAGGCACCGGAGGGGAGGUGAUCCAGGUGAGUCCCAGUGAGCAAGGGGUUCUGCCACCUUCUAACAGACAGUCCAGUGCUUCGGGGCCCCUGUUGGUAAGAGGUCACUGUGGAGGAGAGAGAAUGUGUGCAGCCUCAGAGGGCUGGAGCCACCUGCCAAUUAGGUUUGAUGGUCUUCAUCUGUCCUUGUACGGCACACGGUGAUGGCAGCAGCCUCCGACUGGGGUCGGAGCCAGUGGCCCGAGAACCUCUCAGCUCAGGGGAGGCGACCGAGUCAGUGAUCACAGGACCC